UGCGUAGGCGGAUUUAUAAGUCAGUGGUGAAAUCCUACAGCUUAACUGUAGAACUGCCAUUGAUACUGUAGAUCUUGAGUACGGUUGAGGUGGGCGGAAUGUGUCAUGUAGCGGUGAAAUGCUUAGAUAUGACACGGAACACCAAUUGCGAAGGCAGCUCGCUAAACCGUAACUGACGCUGAGGCACGAAAGCGUGGGGAGCGAACAGGAUUAGAUACCCUGGUAGUCC
Molecule: ribosomal RNA, 229 nt
Filed under: uncultured bacterium
Lineage: Bacteria
Description: partial 16S ribosomal RNA
Rfam family: Bacterial small subunit ribosomal RNA
Source: RNAcentral